GACGAACGCUGGCGGCGUGCCUAAUACAUGCGAGUAGAACGCUGAAGGAGGAGCUUGCUUCUCUGGAUGAGUUGCGAACGGGUGAGUAACGCGUAGGUAACCUGCCUGGUAGCGGGGGAUAACUAUUGGAAACGAUAGCUAAUACCGCAUAAGAGUAGAUGUUGCAUGACAUUUACUUAAAAGGUGCAAUUGCAUCACUACCAGAUGGACCUGCGUUGUAUUAGCUAGUUGGUGAGGUAACGGCUCACCAGGGCAACGAUACAUAGCCGACCUGAGAGGGUGAUCGGCCACACUGGGACUGAGACACGGCCCAGACUCCUACGGGAGGCAGCAGUAGGGAAUCUUCGGCAAUGGACGGAAGUCUGACCGAGCAACGCCGCGUGAGUGAAGAAGGUUUUCGGAUCGUAAAGCUCUGUUGUAAGAGAAGAACGAGUGUGAGAGUGGAAAGUUCACACUGUGACGGUAUCUUACCAGAAAGGGACGGCUAACUACGU
Molecule: ribosomal RNA, 494 nt
Filed under: uncultured bacterium
Lineage: Bacteria
Description: partial 16S ribosomal RNA
Rfam family: Bacterial small subunit ribosomal RNA
Source: RNAcentral